This 1381-nucleotide long non-coding RNA is filed under the name Mus musculus (house mouse). RNAcentral's name for it is "long non-coding RNA chr2:25194818-25196199". Lineage: Eukaryota; Metazoa; Chordata; Mammalia; Rodentia; Muridae. The record is from RNAcentral.
GAAGGGCACGAUGGCUGCAGUGUGCCACAGAGGGUGUUCUCGGGCCAGGAGCUCUCGAAGACUGGUGAGUAACUCCUGGGCUGGAGAUUCCUCAGUCUGAGUACUGCCUGCGCUAUGGCGGAGUGGGGGCAACAUCCGUGACGCAUUUUGCAGCACAAAGUGUGUGAUCUCUAUACCACCAGCGCCACUUAGGAGUACAUAGAUAGCAUUGUGGAAAUGGUGCGAACGCUGUGGCUGCAGGAGGUCGUGGAGCUCAUCUAGCAGCGCAGGUGGCAAGAGUUCAGCCUCAUCCAGGACCAAGAGAGGGGUCUUCUCCUCGGCCUCAGCCUGUGCCACCACAUCUGCCACUCGCUGUGCCAGCUCCUUCCGGCAGUCCUGAACCGGGCGUGGCUCUGGACAGUGAUAUCGUGCAUGGUACUGCAGAACCAAAGCACCAUCUUCCAGCACUGCGCGAAAGUGGCGCGCCAACAGACGCCCCACGUGACUCUUGCCUACACCACUGGGCCCGUGCAGUGCCAGGAGCAAGGGAUGACUGUGCACAUGUGUAGCCAGGUAGUCUCGCAGCAGGGCCAUGAUGCGGCCCACAGCAGCUGGCUGUCCAAACACAGAACGCUGCAGCGCCUUCUCCAGCCCGUCGAGGUCGUAACGUUGUGCAUUAUCGUCUAGAUUCUCAAUGGCGUUGAGAACCUGGAACCCCACAAUGGCUACAAGAAGCAGCAGACAACGCUGUGCACGACUCUGCCGCUCUGUGCGGGGUCGGCACUUCCGUGAGGUUUCUGGGUAGAGAACUACCCGACUACGCCUGCGCCUCUUGCGGGGUGUCCUAGAAGUCAGCUCUGUCAGGCUGUCGAAGGUGAAGAAUUUAGGUUGGUCUAGGUCGGCACGUAGAGUGCCCAAGCUGCCGGUGGGCCCAAGUGUCCCUGUCCCAGAGUCCGGCUCAGUGCCUGGCUGCAAGAGGCGCCUCUUGCGCAGGACGCAGACUCGGCGGCGCAGACGGAGCACGGCGCGCACUGGCGCUAUCACACAUGGUCCCUUGGCCUGGGGCUCUAGGCUAGGAUGGCUGCGGUCCAUGGUUCAGGACCUAUGCUGGGCAUGUAGUUCCCCUCCCUGCAAUAGAAAAAUGGGAAGACUUCGUGAGUCCCCGAUCUUACCCUCUUGGGGUUCCUUAAGGUACUUUCCGGCCAAAUACUGGCCCCGCCUCGCUAGUUCCACUAACCAGGAAGCCCGGCUCUCAGCAGGAGGGCCCCAACGCAUGCAAAUCUCUUGGGUCCUCUCCGAAAAGGCCUAGGCUGUGAGGAAGUGCGGGGGUGGGGCGAGGUGUAUAAUUUAUCAUACUGUUGACCUCCCUCUUAGAGGAAUAAACAGAAGGCUCGUUGUCACU